CUCUUGACAUCCAGAGAACUUUCCAGAGAUGGAUUGGUGCCUUCGGGAACUCUGAGACAGGUGCUGCAUGGCUGUCGUCAGCUCGUGUUGUGAAAUGUUGGGUUAAGUCCGCAACGAGCGCAACCCCUAUCCUUUGUUGCCAGCGAUUCGGUCGGGAACUCAAAGGAGACUGCCGGUGAUAAACCGGAGGAAGGUGGGGAUGACGUCAAGUCAUCAUGGCCCUUACGAGUAGGGCUACACACGUGCUACAAUGGCGUAUACAAAGAGAAGCAACCUCGCGAGAGCAAGCGGACCUCAUAAAGUACGUCGUAGUCCGGAUUGGAGUCUGCAACUCGACUCCAUGAAGUCGGAAUCGCUAGUAAUCGUAGAUCAGAAUGCUACGGUGAAUACGUUCCCGGGCCUUGUACACACCGCCCGUCACACCAUGGGAGUGGGUUGCAAAAGAAGUAGAUAGCUUAACCUUCGGGAGGGCGUUUACCACUUUGUGAUUCAUGACUGGGGUGAAGUCGUAACAAGGUAGGCGUAGCGAG
RNAcentral lists this ribosomal RNA (530 nucleotides) under uncultured bacterium. RNAcentral describes it as "bacterial SSU rRNA". It matches the Rfam family "Bacterial small subunit ribosomal RNA", at positions 978 to 1509 of the family's 1533-position model. The record is from RNAcentral.